This 62-nucleotide transfer RNA is filed under the name Sejus (Epicroseius) sp. SJD-2001. RNAcentral's name for it is "tRNA-Leu". The record is from RNAcentral. Lineage: Eukaryota; Metazoa; Arthropoda; Arachnida; Mesostigmata; Sejidae.
GUUAAUUAGGCAGAGUUAUUGUAUCAAAUUUAGAAUUUGAAUAUGGAUUAUACCAAUUAAUA